UACAGAGACUGCAAGCGUUAUUCGGAUUCACUAGGCGUAAAGGGUGCGCAGGCGGUCGGGUGUGUCAGAUGUGAAAUCCCGAGGCUCAACCUCGGAACUGCGUCUGAAACUACUCGACUAGAGUACUGGAGAGGGUAACGGAAUUCACGGUGUAGCAGUGAAAUGCGUAGAUAUCGUGAGGAACACCAGAGGCGAAGGCGGUUACCUGGACAGUUACUGACGCUCAGGCACGAAAGCAUGGGGAGCAAAAGGG
Molecule: ribosomal RNA, 253 nt
Filed under: uncultured bacterium
Lineage: Bacteria
Description: partial 16S ribosomal RNA
Rfam family: Bacterial small subunit ribosomal RNA
Source: RNAcentral